This 301-nucleotide ribosomal RNA is filed under the name uncultured bacterium. RNAcentral describes it as "partial 16S ribosomal RNA". It matches the Rfam family "Bacterial small subunit ribosomal RNA", at positions 509 to 808 of the family's 1533-position model. The record is from RNAcentral.
CAGUAGCCGCGGUAAUAUGUAGGUCCCGAGCGUUGUCCGGAUUUAUUGGGCGUAAAGCGAGCGCAGGCGGUUAGAUAAGUCUGAAGUUAAAGGCAUUGGCUCAACCAAUGUAUGCUUUGGAAACUGUUAGACUUGAGUGCAGAAGGGGAGAGUGGAAUUCCAUGUGUAGCGGUGAAAUGCGCAGAUAUAUGGAGGAACACCGGUGGCGAAAGCGGCUCUCUGGUCUGUCACUGACGCUGAGGCUCGAAAGCGUGGGUAGCGAACAGGAUUAGAUACCCGCGUAGUCCCUGUCUCUUAUACA